Molecule: non-coding RNA, 97 nt
Organism: Phialemonium atrogriseum
Lineage: Eukaryota; Fungi; Ascomycota; Sordariomycetes; Cephalothecales; Cephalothecaceae
Source: the annotation of a RefSeq genome assembly
GGCUAGAUGGCCGAGCGGUCUAAGGCGCCACGUUUAGGUAAUCACACCUGGAUCCGUGGUCUCGUAAGGGGCGUGAGUUCGAAUCUCACUCUAGUCA